This 3526-nucleotide long non-coding RNA is filed under the name Sus scrofa (pig). Its description in RNAcentral is "lncRNA (ENSSSCG00015057105.1)". The record is from RNAcentral. Lineage: Eukaryota; Metazoa; Chordata; Mammalia; Artiodactyla; Suidae.
UUUUUUUUUUUUUUUGUCUUUUUUUUGCUAUUUCUUUGGGCCGCUUCUGCGGCAUAUGGAGGUUCCCAGGCUAGGGGUCGAAUUGGAGCUGCAGCCUCCGGCCUACGCCAGAGCCACAGCACCUCGGGAUCCGAGCCGCGUCUGCAACCAACACCACAGCUCACGGCAACGCCGGAUCGUUAACCCACUGAGCAGGGGCAGGGACCGAACCCCCAACCUCAUGGUUCCUAGUCGGAUUCGUUAACCACUGCGCCACGAAGGGAACUCCUACAAAAAUUCUUAACUGGGUCACGUGCAUUGCCAACCCAAAUCCAUCACUUCGAGAUCUCAUUCUCUGUCCACUGCAUACACAUCUCCCAAGUUCCUCUCUGGACUACUUCCCAGAUAAUGUUGGUUGCACUCCAUGUUGCUCUUUCUGUGAACAAUGCUUCUUUUAUUUACAAAGCCUUUUCUAAUCUCUGUGUCAUGGGCGUGAAUGGGGAGGCCUGGUUGCUGAUGCCUCCAGGAGUGGUGUGGGUGCCUUCAGAGUUAGCUGUACUUUCCGUGUCCUUUGAAUGAACUGAAAUUUGUUCUUGGCUUGUCUAGCUUCUGUGUUUGCAACAUCACGAAGUCUUAACCUUUUCUUUGGCUGUUUUCCUAGGUAUAUAUUUGCCUGAACUCACUAGCUUAAUGCUUUCUUUUCUUAUUAACUAAACCUGACAUGCUGUAUCCACAAUUAAUGGUUCUGAUCUUUUCCCUACUGGGCUUCAUCAUCUCUCUCUCUUUCUUAAUUCUCUGGCUUUUAUCCUCCUUUUUGGAAUAUCUUCUGCUUUCCUUUAGGCUUUCUUUCUCCAUUAAUCCUCCAAAAAUUUAAUAAUAGCACAUUCAUAGAUGGACUAGUUGACUUUCUAGAGACAAGCUGAGGGUAUGUCAUUUAGGGAUAUCGACAACUGGGUGACCAAGGACAAGAGAAGAGGAUGCAGAUCCCCCUGAUUGGGCUUUGGAGGCUUUCUUCUGAGUCUUUGCUCUAAAGAUGGUCAAAUUAGACUGUACAAAGAGCAGUAUCUUUUCUCCUUCUUCACCUUCCCAUUAGACCACUUUGAAAGGAUAAGAAAGAUGCUGCUUAAUUUCAGCAUCUUCUCAGCCAUCCCUUACAGCAGAUGAAUGAGAAAAGAGUAUCCUCUGACUCAACCGAGGAAAAAGGAAGCACAGCCUAUUUCAGUGCUAACAAGAGUUUAGGGAUUCCUGUAAGAACCCAGAUUUUCUUAUUCGCAGUAAAUAAACACACUUCCAUUUCUUUGGCUACAUAUGCGAUGAAUGCUUGACAGUGGGGACUUACAUUAUUCAUGAAGAUGGUGGAGAGGAAUUUAUGAACACGGCAGCCAUAAGGGAUCCUUAGAGGAAGCCAUGUGCCCCAGUACUUCGACCACCACUGCCUGCUCCGGAGAUGCUGGCCAGACUCCUCUGCGGCAUGGGAUGAGGUGUAAUAAAGGCAGCACACUCCUUAAAUGGGCUCUUAUCAGGCAUCAGGCUUUCUUUCAAGAGUCUCAUCCAUGUGGCUUCGUUUAGUCUUUAUAGAUGCCCCACGAGGGCGGAACUAACUAUGACUGUCCACGGCCACGUAGCAUGCAAAUAUCACAGCUGGGAUGAAAACUCCUAGGGCUGACUCCAUCCUCCACAGUCCACAUUGUUACAUUGUACCCGGGACGCGUGCUACAAAGACAAAGGCAGAAGAGAGAGGGACAAGGAGGAAGAGGAGGCCAGGGAGAGAGGAACAGAAGAAAGAGAGAGAGAGAUGGAGGGAGGGAGGGGGAGAGGAGGAGAAGGGGAGUAUUUGCUAUGAAAAUAAUAGUAACGAUAUUUCUCUGUCCUAUGAAUGUAACUAUAUUGCAAUAGUUAUUGCUUAAUCCUUUUGCUCGAAAGACAAAAAAAAAAAAAAAAAAUGUGUAAGCAAAACGCAGCCCAAGCCAAAAAACUGUGUUGGUAUUUUUUUCCUUGCCUUCCUUUUGUUGUAACAUUUUGUUUGAAGGCAUAAUGAAGUUCUUCUUUGAUUUAAUUAAAAAAUCUGCUUCACUUCCAAACUAACACUCAGGUAAGUGUCAAACUUCCAAUUAUACACAUUAAAAUAUGUUUGGAACCUGUGUUAAAAACUCUAUUUGCAUUAGGCUUUAAUCAUCAUAAAGGAAAAAUGUUUCCAAGAGGUCUGGCUACAUAAAUAAUUAUCCACUUCUUAAGUGCACAGUGGAGUUUUCCCCUGAGAAAAUUCUAUAACUUGGAGAGUAAUGUAAGGGUAAUUAAUUACCAAAAUGAGAUUAAUACUGCAUGCCAAGAAUGAUAACGAAAUGCACAGAGGCUCCACAAACAUAGUCUGUAGGCAGUACAGAGGAGGAAAUGUUGAGAAGUGAGACAAUUUCACUCACAUUUCAGGCUUUGUUCGCAAAAAGCGCUUCCUCUUUUUUUGCGGGGGGAUCAAUCAUCUCAGCUGAACCUCUCGUCCACAUCACCUGAACACCUGCAAUAACCUCUUUAUUGGCUUUCAUAUUCCUCAUGGUGCUUCUCGCCUAAACUGGCAUCUCAGGAAAUCCGUUUAUGUUUUGCAGCUCCCAAAUAAUUUCAUGACCCCAUCGUCAGAGUCCCCCGCUCAGAAACCUUCAAUGGCUCCCAGUGCUUUCAGGAUACAUUCCAGUCUUCAGAGAAAGGUUUAAGGUUCUUCAGAAGCAUGACUUUGACCAGAUUUGCUCUCUUCCUCCUUCCUGUGCCACCAAGGUGUUGGAGACCAUGGAACAGCUGACCGCUGCAGAAGACAAAUACCUAUGGAAGCAGAGUUCUAAAGUACAGAGUCCCCUUCAAAGACAAGCUAGAGGACUUAUGCAUUAACCACCUUAUUCUGUAAACAGCUGCACUCUGUCCUAAGGAUACCCCCUUUGAUAUCACUAAGAUAACUUCCUAUUGCCUAUGCCUGUUCCUGCCCACUAAUCUUGUCACCUUCCUUAAUCAAACUAAUACUAAUCUCAUCACCUUCCUUAAUAAAAGUCAUGCGGGCUAAAGCCUAGGGCCUUUGUUUUGUGGAACAGAGUGCCCCCUGGUCCCCCACUUUCUAAACGUAGAGUAGUCUUGUGUGUUUUGUUAUGCCGUGCCAUCUCUCUUCUAAGAUUCCCCAUUGCCCUGCAGCCCUGGAUGCGGCACCAAGGCUCAUCCCGCACCAGCACACUGUUCCCCAGAUUUGACUGCUAAAAUAUUCACUGGGAUACAGAGGAGUUAAAAAUCCAGAUUCCUAGGCCUCUUCCCUGGAAUCAGAUUCCAUAGGAAAAGGGACUUGGAGUCUCCGUUGUAACAAAUGACCCAAAUCGUUCAGAUGCGUUUGGAAACUGUCCUAAGCAGUUUCCCAUUUGCCAUCCCCUAAACAUGACCCACACGCCCCUCUCCCAUGCCCUCUGCUUACCAUAAACUGUUCCACUUACUGUAAUCCUGAUAGAGCGGAGAGUCCAAUCAGCAUGGUUGUAGCUGGGUUCCCCCCCAACAGAGCCUGAAACAAGACUUUGAAGGU